Molecule: ribosomal RNA, 465 nt
Filed under: uncultured bacterium
Lineage: Bacteria
Description: partial 16S ribosomal RNA
Rfam family: Bacterial small subunit ribosomal RNA
Source: RNAcentral
CCUACGGGAGGCAGCAGUGGGGAAUCUUGCGCAAUGGGCGAAAGCCUGACGCAGCGACGCCGCGUGAGGGAUGAAGGUCUUCGGAUCGUAAACCUCUGUCAGCAGGGAAGAACGGUCACUGUGCUAAUCAGCAGUGAAUUGACGGUACCUGCAAAGGAAGCACCGGCUAACUCCGUGCCAGCAGCCGCGGUAAUACGGAGGGUGCGAGCGUUAAUCGGAAUUACUGGGCGUAAAGCGCUCGUAGGCGGUAUGUCAAGUCAAGGGUGAAAUCCCCGCGCUCAACGGGGGAACUGCCUUUGAAACUGGCAAACUGGAGUGUGGGAGAGGAUAGUGGAAUUCCAGGUGUAGGAGUGAAAUGCGUAGAUAUCUGGAGGAACAUCAGUGGCGAAGGCGACUAUCUGGCACAUAACUGACGCUGAGGAGCGAAAGCGUGGGUAGCAAACAGGAUUAGAUACCCUUGUAGUC